GCGGUCGUAGCUCAGUGGAUAGAGUACGGGUCUUCGGAACCCGUGGUCGCGGGUUCGAAUCCUGCCGACCGCGCCA
This 76-nucleotide transfer RNA is filed under the name Candidatus Bathyarchaeota archaeon. Its description in RNAcentral is "tRNA-Arg". It matches the Rfam family "tRNA". From Rfam's summary of the family: Transfer RNA (tRNA) molecules are approximately 80 nucleotides in length. Their secondary structure includes four short double-helical elements and three loops (D, anti-codon, and T loops). The record is from RNAcentral. Lineage: Archaea; Thermoproteati; Candidatus Bathyarchaeota.